GUCAACGACCUAAGCGUUGAGUGCAAACCCCUAUAAGGCAAGGGCUUGCAGUUAACUCUAGUUGACCAGUUCAAGUCCAUUAAAGGGCUACGUUUACGACAAGCGUUUAAGAACUCACCUUGGGGUGCGUGCCAGCCCCAGGCUCUGAAACCAGAUUGUUAAAAGUCCGAGGAGGUUUAGGACCGUGCAAUUUGGAUAGUUACCGAUCGUAAACAUGAACGAGGCAAACUUUAC
This is a non-coding RNA of Tolypothrix sp. PCC 7601, 234 nucleotides long. The record is from Rfam. Lineage: Bacteria; Bacillati; Cyanobacteriota; Cyanophyceae; Nostocales; Tolypothrichaceae.